This 253-nucleotide ribosomal RNA is filed under the name uncultured bacterium. Its description in RNAcentral is "partial 16S ribosomal RNA". It matches the Rfam family "Bacterial small subunit ribosomal RNA", at positions 524 to 776 of the family's 1533-position model. The record is from RNAcentral.
UACAGAGGUCCCAAGCGUUGUUCGGAUUCACUGGGCGUAAAGGGUGCGUAGGUGGUCGGGUAAGUCUGAUGUGAAAUCUCCGAGCUUAACUCGGAAAUGGCAUUGGAUACUAUUCGACUGGAGGGUUGGAGGGGGGACUGGAAUUCUCGGUGUAGCAGUGAAAUGCGUAGAUAUCGAGAGGAACACCAGUGGCGAAGGCGAGUCCCUGGACAACUCCUGACACUGAGGGACGAAAGCUAGGGGAGCAAACAGG